CCAACAAUUUUUUCCCGCUCUACCAACGGCCGCCGUAGUAUGGACGACCCCAUCCGCCACCAUAGGGACGGCCCCAUCCACCGCCGUAGGGGCGGCCGUAACCGCCACCCCAUCCGCCACCGUAGGGGCGACCGUAGCCGCCACCCCAUCCACCUCCAUAGGGACGACCGCCGCCCCAUCCGUAACGCUGUUCUUCGGUUUGUUGCGGUUUCUUGGAUAUGGCUGUCGUCGUUGACCAUGUCGUCAUCCAUCAAGACCAUCCCAUCCACCAUCCCAAUAGGAACAGCAUGGCGGCUUUCCCGAACAGCGGGAUUUGCGAACGCAACGCCGAGCGUCACAAUUAAGCUGUUCAUUCUGAGAUGUUGACCAACGACGUUAGUCAGAGUUCUGAUACUGACUCCAGUGAAGAGCUUGAGCUUAUAUACCACCGAGGCUUUUCUGCAAUUUCGUUGGGAACCAAUUCUACACAAAGUUAAUGCUAUAGGUUUGGGAAACUUCGAGUGAUUGCUGUUCAUCUCAUCUUCAUCCAACACGAUGAAUCCGUCCAUCAUGCCAACGUAAAUCAUCUGGCGUUCGUCUUCCCCUACUGGAUUGGCUGCAGCAGUAUGAAGGGCUACAACAAGACAGUAAAAUAGUUCAUGGUGAAUCCGGUCAAGGUUGUCGGAAUUCUGAUACGGAAACGAAGAAGGACUUUGAACUUAUAUAGCCUACCGAAG
This is a long non-coding RNA of Daphnia carinata, 716 nucleotides long. RefSeq lists it as uncharacterized. The record is from RefSeq and is a predicted model, not a curated record. Lineage: Eukaryota; Metazoa; Arthropoda; Branchiopoda; Diplostraca; Daphniidae. The transcript has 5 exons.